RNAcentral lists this transfer RNA (75 nucleotides) under Merluccius polli (Benguela hake). Its description in RNAcentral is "tRNA-Asp". It matches the Rfam family "tRNA". Rfam says of the family: Transfer RNA (tRNA) molecules are approximately 80 nucleotides in length. Their secondary structure includes four short double-helical elements and three loops (D, anti-codon, and T loops). Further hydrogen bonds mediate the characteristic L-shaped molecular structure. tRNAs have two regions of fundamental functional importance: the anti-codon, which is responsible for specific mRNA codon recognition, and the 3' end, to which the tRNAs corresponding amino acid is attached (by aminoacyl-tRNA synthetases). tRNAs cope with the degeneracy of the genetic code in two manners: having more than one tRNA (with a specific anti-codon) for a particular amino acid; and 'wobble' base-pairing, i.e. permitting non-standard base-pairing at the 3rd anti-codon position. Lineage: Eukaryota; Metazoa; Chordata; Actinopteri; Gadiformes; Merlucciidae. The record is from RNAcentral.
UCCUCGUUAGUAUAGUAGGGUCAGUAUCCCCGCCUGUCACGCGGGAGACCGGGGUUCAAUUCCCCGACCGGGGGA